UUCCGUUUGAAGUUGCUUCGUCGAUAUGCUGAAGGUGGCUUGAGGUGGUAUUAUAUCGUUGGUUUACAACUGUCAAAGAUCUGUCCGAUUCGGAUGAAAACCAAAAUUGUACGAUGUAGCCGGCUAACCUAACCGAAGUCGAAAGUCCUGAGGUGAUAAGAUAUUGAAACAGAUUACUGUGGCUAUAUAAAUAACGACAGUCGUGGAUAUUUUAGAAGCAUCAGUUGUCUUUUUCAUCUGUUUAUUUUUCAUUUAUAAAGUAGUGUACGCUAUGGAGGUAAUUGUUAAGCUAAAUUCGCAAACAGCCGGCCGCGAUAAACUUGUUAGGUUACUGCAGUAUACGAGCAAAUUCGCUUGGCAUUAUAUGCAGGAAAAGCAGCAUAGCAAACAGUCAGUAGAUCGAUUAAAGGAUCUGGAGUACACAUUUAGUUCCUUCAGAAAAUUGUUGCGUUUGGGCAGGUGUUUGGAUGUGCUUUACGGGGCUUUGUCAUCUGUGCAAUAUCCUGAUUUGACCCUGAGGAUAACUUGUACACUGUCCAGAAUUGCUAAUGCCUUGUACUUGUUGGCUGACCAUAUUCUUUGGUUUGGCAGAACAGGCGUGUUAAAUAUCAACAGUGCCAAAUGGAAUCAAGUUGCAAAUAAGUAUUGGCUGUACUCUAUUGUCAUGAAUUUAGUGCGGGAUGUUUAUGAGAUACUGCAGAUUGUGAAAUAUGAGACUCAUAACUGUAUAGGACUUAAACGCAUGGGCAGCCCUGAUUACUACAGAAAGCCUUCAACAGAUAAACUCUCUGUAAUUAAGUUUGUGCAAGAACACAAGGAUGUUGUUAUUGACACAGUGAAAAAUGGUUGUGACUUCUUUAUUCCAAUGUCUGCUCUGGGCUAUAUCAGAUUAAAUCCUGGUACAGUUGGUGUACUUGGUGUGAUUUCUUCAGUGGCAGCUAUCAUAAGUCUCGUCGAUCCUUUCGCCCGGCUUUCACCAGCAUAACUCAGUACGGGUGGAUUCCACAGAAGUGGUAUUACAGAAGAUACUCGAGAUUUUAAGUAAAAGGGGCUUCUAACAAGAGCCCUGAUGCUAACAGUUACCAGGCUGUAGAUAACACGCACCUAGGUAUUGCUGUUUGAAGCAGUCAGUGGCAGUUGUGGAGAAGGUGUGAUGGUAUACCUCAAACAACAGCAUGCUGGCAGUGUAUAACAACUUGGAACACAGAAUGGUUGAGAUGCUGCCCACAGGAAAGUUAGAGAGGGGGAAAAAAAUUGAUUUUAAAUCAUUCAGUGUUAUUUAAUAGGUAACUUAAGCCAUUGAAUUGUAUAUGUACAGAAGUUUCCAAAGUGGAAACUAUAUAAAUAAUUACCAUUACAUUGUCACUAUAGGCUGUGAAGUGUUUGCCAUCCAAAUGUAAUACAUCAUAAGAUCAUGUUAUAAAAAAAAAUUGUAGAAGAGUAUUUUUAAUGGGAAUUCCUUAUGGUGGUUCAUAAAUUACCAUUCUCCAUGUCUCAAGUUGCCACAGUUUAGUUAUAAUGACUUGACUUGGGGGACUGUAAUGCAUACGGCAAAUGGCUACUCUUGUUUGUGUUGAAUUUAAUUUGUUGUGAGUUGGUUAUAUAAAUUUUAAAUUCAUGGCCUAUAUAAAAUUAUCCAGAUACCCUUUUACAUUAACUGCUGAAUCAAAUUGUGAAUGUAUUUUGGAGUUCAAGAAUGCUUGCCAUUUAAUACUGACAUUCAAUCAAAGAAAGAGCAUUACCCAUUCUAUAAAUAUGACAACUAUUAAUGGAUGUGGAAUAGUAUUACUGACUGUGCUUUAAUAUUUCAUAAUUGGUUAUGUCAGCUUCUGCAAAUGUAUCCUUGAACUCACAUACUUUGUCUUUACUGUGUUUAGGAGCUGCUCUUUCCUCUGUAAGAAAAGUGAAAGUCUCCUUGCAGUAAUCUGUAAAUCAACUAACACUAAUAUGUAUUGUAUAAAAAGAUUGUUCAGAAAAUUAUCAAAACAACAAAGACUGCAGUACUACAUCCAGGAAGUGCAAUUCCCAGUGCUGUCAAUAGGCACAAAUGUAGAUCACAGCACUCAAAGCUUUUUCAACAGUAGGUACCUGUCAUAAAAGUGUGUCCUCGUACCUUGGGAUUUAAAUAACCUGAUAGGCCUCACCUUCCUUCAUAUUCAAUUUAAACUCCCCAAGCAAUAUCUCUUUCCUGCUCAAGGACAAUGUCAUUGGGGGCGGGGGAUAAGAAUGCUAUACUCUACUUUUGUGUGUUGUUUUUGGCAGUAAUAGAAGUUGCACGUCUUGGAAGGUAAAUACUGGCCAGCCUUUCUCAUUCUGAGAGUCAGAGCGCAUGAGAGCGCGCGCACACACACACACACACACACACACACACACACACACACACACACACACACACUUUAUCCUAAAUCAGCUAAUUUAAUUUUUGCAAUUUUCCACUGUUUCACCAAAAUUAUGACAGUUUAUACUGUUUUUUUUUAUUACACUACAUAAAUGUACAAGCAUGAGAAGUGUGUGUACAUUCAUGCAUAUGUUCACAGAAAAUGUUGAUGUUUUUUAAUGUUUUAAUCAAUAAAAUAUGACAUUCCACUCA
This 2590-nucleotide unclassified non-coding RNA is filed under the name Schistocerca americana (American grasshopper). RNAcentral's name for it is "peroxisomal membrane protein 11B, transcript variant X1". Lineage: Eukaryota; Metazoa; Arthropoda; Insecta; Orthoptera; Acrididae. The record is from RNAcentral.